GUUCUUGAGGAGUUGGUUAUCACAGGCAAUUUGAAAGAAAACCCAAAAGCAGCUUCCCUGACAAAAGAUGCCGGUGAUCAACAUCGAGGACCUGACAGAAAAGGACAAGUUGAAGAUGGAGGUGGACCAGCUCAAGAAGGAAGUGACCCUGGAAAGAGUGAUGGUGAGUGAGUGACCUCUCCAAUUCACCGGAAAAGACAGCGUGGCAAAUACCCACACCUCCCAAUUCCGUUAGCGUAUGCUGGAACAGAUCAAUGUAUCUAAAAGUAAAUUCUUAGUGGAAAACAGAAUCAGUGCUGAAGAAAGGUUUCCAAAUGUUGUGAAGAAGUAAGAGAUUAUAUUGAAGAAAGAUCUAGAGAAGACCCUCUAGUGAAGGGGAUUCCAGAGGACAAAAAUCCCUUCAAGGAGCUCAAGGGAGGCUGUGUGAUUUCCUAGGCAGGGGUGCAGAUUUCUUAGAAUAGUUAGAAUUUUAAUGAUAAUGCAAACUGUUCUAUAAAAUUAAACUUGUAUAUGUUGUUUAAAUUGAU
RNAcentral lists this long non-coding RNA (527 nucleotides) under Rattus norvegicus (Norway rat). RNAcentral's name for it is "long non-coding RNA NONRATT020214". Lineage: Eukaryota; Metazoa; Chordata; Mammalia; Rodentia; Muridae. The record is from RNAcentral.